CGUGUUAGUUGCAAAAUAAUUUACGUGUGUCCCGAUCAAGGAUUCGCUCCGGAAACGAUAAAUACGCAUGAGAAAACUGAGUGUUGUUCAGAGUGUGACAAAAGAGACAGUCAAUAGAAGAAAGCAGAUGAUUAUAACAGCAUUUUCUUCAUAUGCGAGCGCGACUGUGCUCCAAGCUUGCAGUUCUGGCGAGGUCCUGGGAAAAACUGCUUUUUCGAAGAGAUCGAUGGAUAGCACAAUAAAAACUUUAUUUUUCGUCCAACAUCAAUUGGCAUCAGCUGGCGCUGACCGGAAGCAUCCAGAAGAUCUCUCUUCCAAGCGUUCUUGAGAAUAUGCAACAGCGAAAUCUCACCCGGAUUGUGUCCCUUCCACGUCAACUCAGGGGGAUAAAGGCUUUUUUGUAAUUUCGAGGAGAGUGUAGCUGUAGACUCUCUUGUGAGGUACAUGCAGAGAAACCCAGCAGUGGUGCUAUAAAAUUGAUUGUUUUUGUGUAACUUGAUUGAAUGAAAAAUAAAAACUAAAGCGGUCUUUUCAAUGUGAA
Molecule: long non-coding RNA, 541 nt
Organism: Aedes aegypti (yellow fever mosquito)
Lineage: Eukaryota; Metazoa; Arthropoda; Insecta; Diptera; Culicidae
Exons: 2
Source: RefSeq, a predicted model, not a curated record